CCAGAGAAUUUAGCAGAGAUGCUUUAGUGCCUUCGGGAACUCUGAGACAGGUGCUGCAUGGCUGUCGUCAGCUCGUGUUGUGAAAUGUUGGGUUAAGUCCCGCAACGAGCGCAACCCUUAUCCUUUGUUGCCAGCACGUAAUGGUGGGAACUCAAAGGAGACUGCCGGUGAUAAACCGGAGGAAGGUGGGGAUGACGUCAAGUCAUCAUGGCCCUUACGAGUAGGGCUACACACGUGCUACAAUGGCGCAUACAAAGAGAAGCGAUCUCGCGAGAGCAAGCGGACCUCAUAAAGUGCGUCGUAGUCCGGAUUGGAGUCUGCAACUCGACUCCAUGAAGUCGGAAUCGCUAGUAAUCGUAAAUCAGAAUGUUACGGUGAAUACGUUCCCGGGCCUUGUACACACCGCCCGUCACACCAUGGGAGUGGGUUGCAAAAGAAGUAGAUAGCUUAACCUUCGGGAGGGCGUUUACCACUUUGUGAUUCAUGACUGGGGUGAAGUCGUAACAAGGUAAGCGUAGUGCU
This 522-nucleotide ribosomal RNA is filed under the name uncultured bacterium. RNAcentral describes it as "bacterial SSU rRNA". It matches the Rfam family "Bacterial small subunit ribosomal RNA", at positions 988 to 1509 of the family's 1533-position model. The record is from RNAcentral.